Molecule: ribosomal RNA, 478 nt
Filed under: uncultured bacterium
Lineage: Bacteria
Description: partial 16S ribosomal RNA
Rfam family: Bacterial small subunit ribosomal RNA
Source: RNAcentral
GACGAACGCUGGCGGCGUGCUUAACACAUGCAAGUCGAACGGUAAGGCCCUUCGGGGUACACGAGUGGCGAACGGGUGAGUAACACGUGGGUGAUCUGCCCUGCACUUCGGGAUAAGCCUGGGAAACUGGGUCUAAUACCGGAUAGGACUCCGGACUGCAUGGUCUGGGGUGGAAAGCUUUUGCGGUGUGGGAUGGGCCCGCGGCCUAUCAGCUUGUAGGUGGGGUGAUGGCCUACCAAGGCGACGACGGGUAGCCGGCCUGAGAGGGUGACCGGCCACACUGGGACUGAGAUACGGCCCAGACUCCUACGGGAGGCAGCAGUGGGGAAUAUUGCACAAUGGGCGCAAGCCUGAUGCAGCGACGCCGCGUGAGGGAUGACGACCUUCGGGUUGUAAACCUCUUUCAGCAUCGACGAAGCGAAAGUGACGGUAGGUGCAGAAGAAGGACCGGCCAACUACGUGCCAGCAGCCGCCGUAA